Molecule: ribosomal RNA, 492 nt
Filed under: uncultured bacterium
Lineage: Bacteria
Description: partial 16S ribosomal RNA
Rfam family: Bacterial small subunit ribosomal RNA
Source: RNAcentral
AGUGAACGCUGGCGGUAGGCCUAACACAUGCCAGUCGAACGGCAGCACAGUAAGAGCUUGCUCUUACGGGUGGCGAGUGGCGGACGGGUGAGGAAUACAUCGGAAUCUACUUUUUCGUGGGGGAUAACGUAGGGAAACUUACGCUAAUACCGCAUACGACCUACGGGUGAAAGCAGGGGAUCUUCGGACCUUGCGCGAUUGAAUGAGCCGAUGUCGGAUUAGCUAGUUGGCGGGGUAAAGGCCCACCAAGGCGACGAUCCGUAGCUGGUCUGAGAGGAUGAUAAGCCACACUGGAACUGAGACACGGUCCAGACUCCUACGGGAGGCAGCAGUGGGGAAUAUUGGACAAUGGGCGCAAGCCUGAUCCAGCCAUACCGCGUGGGUGAAGAAGGCCUUCGGGUUGUAAAGCCCUUUUGUUGGGAAAGAAAAGCAGCAGGUUAAUACCCCGCUGUUCUGACGGUACCCAAAGAAUAAGCACCGGCUAACUUCGUG